CUGGACUCUGAAUCCAGCGAUCCGAGUUC
This 29-nucleotide non-coding RNA is filed under the name Xenopus tropicalis (tropical clawed frog). Lineage: Eukaryota; Metazoa; Chordata; Amphibia; Anura; Pipidae. RNAcentral also lists the same sequence under 8 other names. The record is from RNAcentral.